CGGAGAGCAGAGAGGGAGCGCGCCUUGGCUCGCUGGCCUUGGCUGCGGCUCCUCGGGAGAGCUGGGGCGCCCACGAGAGGAUCCCUCACCUGGGUCUCUCCUCAGGGAUGACAUCAUCCGUCCACCUCCUUGUCUUCAAGGACCACCUCCUCUCCAUGCCGAGCUGCUGCCAAGGGGCCUGCUGCCCAUCUACACCUCACGAGGGCACUAGGAGCACGGAUUCCUGGAUCCCACCAACAUACAAAGCAGCCACUCACAGACCCCCAGGACCAGGAUGGCAAAGGAUGAAGAGGACCGGAACUGACCUGCCAGCUGUCCCUCUUACCUAAAGACUUAAACCAAUGCCCUAGUGAGGGGGCAUUGGACAUUAAGCCCUGACUUUUGCUAUGCUCAUGCUUUGACUCUAUGAGUACUUUCCUAUAAGUCUUCGCUUGUGUUCACCUGCUAGCAAACUGGAGUGUUUCCCUCCCCAAGGGGGUGUCAGUCUUUGUCGACUGACUCUGUCAUCACCCUUAUGAUGUCCUGAAUGGAAGGAUCCCUUUGGGAAAUUCUCAGGAGGGGGACCUGGGCCAAGGGCUUGACCAGCAUCCUGCUGGCAACUCCAAGGCCCUGGGUGGGCUUCUGGAAUGAGCAUGCUACUGAAUCACCAAAGGCAUGCCCCACCUCUCUGGAGAUCUUCCUAUCCUUUUCUGGGGAAUGGGGUCAAUGGGAGCAACCUCCUAGGGUUGUUGUGAGAAUUAAAUGAGAUAAAAGAGGCCUCAGGCAGGAUCUGGCAUAGAGGAGGUGAUCAGCAAAUGUUUGUUGAAAAGGUUUGACAGGUCAGUCCCUUCCCACCCCUCUUGCUUGUCUUACUCGUCUUAUUUAUUCUCCAACAGCACUCCAGGCAGCCCUUGUCCACGGGCUCUCCUUGCAUCAGCCAAGCUUCUUGAAAGGCCUGUCUACACUUGCUGUCUUCCUUCCUCACCUCCAAUUUCCUCUUCAACCCACUGCUUCCUGACUCGCUCUACUCCGUGGAAGGGCACUCACAAAGGCACGUGGGCCGCGGCCCAGCUGGGUCGGCUGAAGAACUGCGGAUGGAAGCUGUGGAAGAGGCCCUGAUGGGGCCCACCAUCCCGGACCCGAGUCUUCUUCCUGGAGGGCCUCUCGUCUCCUUCCUGUUUUGGGCGGAAGCCAUCACCUGGAUUCCUACGUGGGAAGGGACCUCGAAUGUGCGACCCCAGCCCCUCUCCAGCUCGAAAUCGGCAGACUAGGAUGGAAGUGCCCUGCGAGCUGGGGGGCCCUUCAAAGGGCCAAGGAGAAAACGCAGGCCGAGGGACCAGCCUUCCAAAUGGGCUUCAAGCUCCAAUGACCUCCGCUCACCCCCUCGAAAUGUCUGGAAAACAUAAUGGGCAGAUUUUCUGUCUUCAAAGUUUCCGGCUAAACCUCUUCAAGUUCUUUAUUGUUUGGGACUGAGACACUCAGCCAUGGUAAUGGGUAGUUUCUUUUGUAUUUGCCUUGAAAGGCCAAAAUAUUUUUAUAUUGCCACAGACAAAGCCACCUAUUUAAAAAUGAACUCCAUGUCCGUCGUUUCCCACCAGGAGACUAUGUACCAUGUGUGUGUCUCUAUGUAUUCUGGGGUCUUGAAACAGGUUUCUCAUGGGGAUGGUCAUUCACCACGGUCCAGAGGGGCAGAACGGGCGGCGCUUGCCUUGCCCAGGGGGCCUGGGGAACGUGGGCCCUCAUCUCAGAUCUGCUCCCAGUAUGUCUAGGACGCGAGCCCCAGAAGGAUCUGGGAGUAAACUUAACAUUCACUGUGUCUCUGCUCUGCAUCCGCCAUUUGUGUGUGUUUCUGGACUGUGGACUGUGUGUACCUUGGUGGGUGACUCAGUGAGAAGAAGCAGGAAUGCCAAAGAUACUGUGAAUGUUCUGGGUUUUGUUGUUGUUGUUGUUGAGAGGUUGUUUCACUGGUGUCUAUUGCAUUAUAUAAUAAAUGACCAGAUGAAUGAAUGAGUGAAGCAAGAAAGAAUGAAUAAACAAAUAAAUAGGUAAAGAAGUAAGCAAGCCAGGAUGAGAGUGUGUGUACACAAGACCAUGGUUCAUCCACUUUGAUGCCUAGACAAUCAAUAUAUAAAUAGAAAAAACCCGGUGAAUCACUAAGUAAUAGGGCAACACACAAAGCGAUAUCAGUUGAUUAUGGAAUAAGGGAUAUGUGUAAUUCAAAUAUAUGCCUCUGACAUUUGACAAUGACAAAGAACCUAAAUGAAAAAAAGAAUGGCUGUGUGAGUAGCGAAGUGCAGAAUGAGACAUAGAUUUUGAGUCAAAAUGAAAAGAUGCAAGUUAAGGAACAAGUGAUCAAAAGGGAGAAGGGAAAGGUUUUUUUAAAAAACCGAAGCAACAAAUAAAAGAAAGGUUAAAAAGAAAAAAAAAAACUAGAGGAUGAGUAACAAGUAACUCUAUAAGGAGGACCAUGUCAGGCUACUGUAAGCCAAGCAUUAGGACUGAUACAAAUAAUAUAUGCUCCUGGCAUAGAAAAAUAAACCACAGAGAACGAGUUCAAAGAAUAGCAAAGAAAGAAAGAGGACCCGGUGGGCGAAAGAUGAGAGUGCACUUUUACCAAAAGUUAUCUAAGCCUGAGCACUUGAAGUCUGCAUAUAAAUAAAUAAAUGACAAAAGAAAGAAAAAAAGGCCAAAAA
RNAcentral lists this long non-coding RNA (2672 nucleotides) under Pongo abelii (Sumatran orangutan). RNAcentral's name for it is "lincRNA". The stretch from base 518 to 622 matches the Rfam family "Maternally expressed 3 conserved region 2". Lineage: Eukaryota; Metazoa; Chordata; Mammalia; Primates; Hominidae. The record is from RNAcentral.